Molecule: ribosomal RNA, 229 nt
Filed under: uncultured bacterium
Lineage: Bacteria
Description: partial 16S ribosomal RNA
Rfam family: Bacterial small subunit ribosomal RNA
Source: RNAcentral
UCCGUAGGUGGAUCAAUAAGUCAGAGGUGAAAUCCUGCAGCUUAACUAUAGAACUGCCUUUGAUACUGUUGAUCUUGAGUCAUUAUGAAGUGGUUAGAAUGUGUAGUGUAGCGGUGAAAUGCAUAGAUAUUACACAGAAUACCGAUUGCGAAGGCAGAUCACUAAUAAUGUACUGACACUGAGGGACGAAAGCGUGGGGAGCGAACAGGAUUAGAUACCCUGGUAGUCC